Molecule: ribosomal RNA, 253 nt
Filed under: uncultured bacterium
Lineage: Bacteria
Description: partial 16S ribosomal RNA
Rfam family: Bacterial small subunit ribosomal RNA
Source: RNAcentral
GACGGAGGAGGCAAGCGUUAUCCGGAAUUAUUGGGCGUAAAGCGUCCGCAGGCGGCUAAUUAAGUCUGUUGUCAAAGGUCACAGCUCAACUGUGGAUCGGCAAUGGAAACUGAUUGGCUAGAGUGUGGUAGGGGUAGAGGGAAUUCCCGGUGUAGCGGUGAAAUGCGUAGAUAUCGGGAAGAACACCAGUGGCGAAGGCGCUCUACUGGGCCACAACUGACGCUGAGGGACGAAAGCUAGGGGAGCGAAAGGG